Molecule: ribosomal RNA, 274 nt
Filed under: uncultured bacterium
Lineage: Bacteria
Description: partial 16S ribosomal RNA
Rfam family: Bacterial small subunit ribosomal RNA
Source: RNAcentral
AUACGGAGAGGGCAAGCGUUGUUCGGAAUCACUGGGCAUAAAGGGCACGUAGGCGGAUCAGAAAGUCGGUUGUGAAAGCCCGGGGCUCAACCCCGGAACUGCUUCCGAAACUUCUGGUCUUGAGGGUGAGAGGGGAGAGUGGAACUUCUGGUGGAGCGGUGAAAUGCGUAGAGAUCAGAAGGAACACCGGUGGCGAAAGCGACUCUCUGGCUCAUUUCUGACGCUGAGGUGCGAAAGCUUGGGUAGCGAACGGGAUUAGAAACCCUAGUAGUCC